Molecule: non-coding RNA, 155 nt
Organism: Populus trichocarpa (black cottonwood)
Lineage: Eukaryota; Viridiplantae; Streptophyta; Magnoliopsida; Malpighiales; Salicaceae
Source: Rfam
UCUAGAACUUGAGAUAUGGGCUGAGCACUGAACAGUGUCUAGGCUGCAGGACAGAUUCCGACUUCUCCGUUGUUGCUAAUAUUUGGACUUCCAAACAGCAGAAAUGAGUCUUUCACUCAUAUAAAUGUUUUAGGCCUAUGUCUUAGCUUUCCAGC